Molecule: transfer RNA, 74 nt
Filed under: Calumma guibei
Lineage: Eukaryota; Metazoa; Chordata; Lepidosauria; Squamata; Chamaeleonidae
Description: partial tRNA-Leu
Rfam family: tRNA
About the family: Transfer RNA (tRNA) molecules are approximately 80 nucleotides in length. Their secondary structure includes four short double-helical elements and three loops (D, anti-codon, and T loops). Further hydrogen bonds mediate the characteristic L-shaped molecular structure. tRNAs have two regions of fundamental functional importance: the anti-codon, which is responsible for specific mRNA codon recognition, and the 3' end, to which the tRNAs corresponding amino acid is attached (by aminoacyl-tRNA synthetases). tRNAs cope with the degeneracy of the genetic code in two manners: having more than one tRNA (with a specific anti-codon) for a particular amino acid; and 'wobble' base-pairing, i.e. permitting non-standard base-pairing at the 3rd anti-codon position.
Source: RNAcentral
ACUUUUAAAGGAAAAUAGCCAUCCAGUGGUUUUAGGAGCCAAAACUCUUGGUGCAAAUCCAAGUAAAAGUAAUG